Molecule: unclassified non-coding RNA, 161 nt
Filed under: uncultured fungus
Lineage: Eukaryota; Fungi
Description: sequence contains ITS1, 5.8S rRNA gene
Source: RNAcentral
CAGAGAACAUGCCCCCAGGGGUAUAUCUCCCACCCUUUGUCUACAAUACCUUUGUUGCUUUGGCAAGCCUGUCUCACGACUGCCAGCUCUUAGCUGGUCUGUGCUUGCCAGAGGACCCCAAAAUUCUCCAUUCUUGUUGUCUGAGUACUAUACAAUAAUUA